UAAAGAAUUUCGGUAUGGGAUGGGGAUGCGUUCCAUUAGUUAGUUGGCGGGGUAACGGCCCACCAAGACAACGAUGGAUAGGGGUUCUGAGAGGAAGGUCCCCCACAUUGGAACUGAGACACGGUCCAAACUCCUACGGGAGGCAGCAGUGAGGAAUAUUGGUCAAUGGACGAGAGUCUGAACCAGCCAAGUAGCGUGAAGGAUGACUGCCCUACGGGUUGUAAACUUCUUUUAUAUGGGAAUAAAAUGUUCCACGUGUGGGAUUUUGUAUGUACCAUAUGAAUAAGGAUCGGCUAACUCCGUGCCAGCAGCCGCGGUAAUACGGAGGAUCCGAGCGUUAUCCGGAUUUAUUGGGUUUAAAGGGAGCGUAGGUGGAUUGUUAAGUCAGUUGUGAAAGUUUGCGGCUCAACCGUAAAAUUGCAGUUGAAACUGGCAGUCUUGAGUACAGUAGAGGUGGGCGGAAUUCGUGGUGUAGCGGUGAAAUGCUUAGAUAUCACGAAGAACUCCGAUUGCGAAGGCAGCUCACUGGACUGCAACUGACACUGAGGCUCGAAAGUGUGGGUAUCAAACAGGAUUAGAUACCCUGGUAGUCCACACAGUAAACGAUGAAUACUCGCUGUUUGCGAUAUAUGCAA
Molecule: ribosomal RNA, 635 nt
Filed under: uncultured bacterium
Lineage: Bacteria
Description: bacterial SSU rRNA
Rfam family: Bacterial small subunit ribosomal RNA
Source: RNAcentral